RNAcentral lists this ribosomal RNA (774 nucleotides) under uncultured Neocallimastigales. RNAcentral describes it as "partial large subunit ribosomal RNA". It matches the Rfam family "Eukaryotic large subunit ribosomal RNA", at positions 24 to 634 of the family's 3401-position model. Lineage: Eukaryota; Fungi; Neocallimastigomycota; Neocallimastigomycetes; Neocallimastigales. The record is from RNAcentral.
UAUGUGAUCGUCUCUCGCAUAUCAAUAAGCGGAGGAAAAGAAACUAACAAGGAUUCCCUUAGUAACGGCGAGUGAAGCGGGAAGAGCUCAAAUUUGAAAUCUUCAAGGUUUUACCUUGACGAAUUGUAGUUUAAAGAAGUGUUUUCUGUUGAAGUUUUGGUAAAAGUUCUUUGGAAUAGGACAUCAUAGAGGGUGAGAAUCCCGUAUUUGACCAUUAUUUUCAGCUGUGUGAUACACUUUCAAAGAGUCGGAUUGUUUGGGAAUGCAGUCCAAAAUGGGUGGUAAAUUUCAUCUAAAGCUAAAUAUUGGCGAGAGACCGAUAGCGAACAAGUACCGUGAGGGAAAGAUGAAAAGAACUUUGAAAAGAGAGUUAAACAGUACGUGAAAUUGUCAAAAGGGAAGCGUUUGACACCAGUGUUGUUUUCUCGAAAAUCAAUUAAUAAGAGUUAGAUUUUGUUGUGUAUUGACCUUAACAGCUUGCAUUUCAAUUUUCUUGCUUUUUUUAAUGCACUUUUCGUUUAACAAGUCAACAUCAGUUUCUUUUGUUGUAAAAAGGUCAUUGGAAGGUGGCUUUCUUUUCGGAGAAAGUGUUUAUAGCCUUUGACUCCUGCAAUCGGAGAGACUGAGGUCUGCAGCGUAGAUCCUUCGGGGUUAGAUACAUUUGUGCUAAGUUAUAGCUUUUUAUAGACAACUUGUUGACUAUGAUUAGUCUUGUAGCUUACUCGCUUAUGCUAUUUUACCUACGCUUAGGAUGUUGAAGAUGUAGCACAUCAU